Molecule: long non-coding RNA, 365 nt
Organism: Morus notabilis
Lineage: Eukaryota; Viridiplantae; Streptophyta; Magnoliopsida; Rosales; Moraceae
Exons: 3
Source: RefSeq, a predicted model, not a curated record
UGUGGGGUAGCUGUCGCUGGUACUCGUUUUGAAUCUUGCAUUGUGUGUAUUCCUGACUAUUCUCAUCUUGCAUAUCCUUGUUCAUAGGUCCAACCUCUUUUCUCUCAAUAAUUGGUGCUGCAAUUGACAUUGUUGAGAGAAGCAAUAAUCAAUAUCAUGUUCUUGUCAUCAUUGCAGAUGGACAGGUUACGAGGAAUCCUGAUACACCACCAGGAAGGUUAAGUCCACAAGAACAAGAAACUGUAAACGCCAUAGUUGCUGCCAGCGAAUAUCCUCUUUCAAUUAUUCUGGUCGGAGUGGGAGAUGGACCAUGGGAUGCAAUGCAACAUUUUGAUGAUAACAUUCCUCAGCGUUCAUUCGACAAU